GACGAACGCUGGCGGCGUGCUUAACACAUGCAAGUCGAACGGAAAGGCCCUGCUUUUGUGGGGUGCUCGAGUGGCGAACGGGUGAGUAACACGUGAGUAACCUGCCCUUGACUUUGGGAUAACUUCAGGAAACUGGGGCUAAUACCGGAUAGGAGCUCCUGCUGCAUGGUGGGGGUUGGAAAGUUUCGGCGGUUGGGGAUGGACUCGCGGCUUAUCAGCUUGUUGGUGGGGUAGUGGCUUACCAAGGCUUUGACGGGUAGCCGGCCUGAGAGGGUGACCGGCCACAUUGGGACUGAGAUACGGCCCAGACUCCUACGGGAGGCAGCAGUGGGGAAUAUUGCACAAUGGGCGGAAGCCUGAUGCAGCAACGCCGCGUGCGGGAUGACGGCCUUCGGGUUGUAAACCGCUUUCGCCUGUGACGAAGCGUGAGUGACGGUAAUGGGGAAAGAAGCACCGGCUAACCACGU
RNAcentral lists this ribosomal RNA (467 nucleotides) under uncultured bacterium. RNAcentral describes it as "partial 16S ribosomal RNA". It matches the Rfam family "Bacterial small subunit ribosomal RNA", at positions 28 to 506 of the family's 1533-position model. The record is from RNAcentral.